Molecule: ribosomal RNA, 449 nt
Filed under: uncultured bacterium
Lineage: Bacteria
Description: partial 16S ribosomal RNA
Rfam family: Bacterial small subunit ribosomal RNA
Source: RNAcentral
AACGAACGCUGGCGGCAUGCCUAACACAUGCAAGUCGAACGAGAUCUUCGGGUCUAGUGGCGCACGGGUGCGUAACGCGUGGGAAUCUGCCCUUUGGUUCGGAAUAACGGUUGGAAACGACUGCUAAUACCGGAUGAUGACGAAAGUCCAAAGAUUUAUCGCCAGAGGAUGAGCCCGCGUAGGAUUAGCUAGUUGGUGUGGUAAAGGCGCACCAAGGCGACGAUCCUUAGCUGGUCUGAGAGGAUGAUCAGCCACACUGGGACUGAGACACGGCCCAGACUCCUACGGGAGGCAGCAGUGGGGAAUAUUGGACAAUGGGCGAAAGCCUGAUCCGGCAAUGCCGCGUGAGUGAUGAAGGCCUUAGGGUUGUAAAGCUCUUUUACCCGGGAUGAUAAUGACAGUACCGGGAGAAUAAGCUCCGGCUAACUCCGUGCCAGCCGCCGCAGUAA